This 5095-nucleotide long non-coding RNA is filed under the name Homo sapiens (human). RNAcentral's name for it is "HSALNT0109289". The record is from RNAcentral. Lineage: Eukaryota; Metazoa; Chordata; Mammalia; Primates; Hominidae.
CGAGUAGCUCCUAGAUCCGAGGUGCGGCGGAGACGCGCGCUCCCGACCCGCAGCGGAGGCGGCGCGGGGCGCCGGAGCAGGGCUGCAGCGCGGGAGCCGCCUCCCCAGCGCGAGAGCCGCCUCCCCAGCGCGAGGCCGCCUUGGCCAAGAGGAGGUGAGCUUUGCAGAUCCCUUUCCUGCUCACUUUGCCCCUCCGAGUCCGGGUCAGAGCCUGAGUCAGAGAAUUCUUUGCCAUCCCGGGCUCUGCAGUGGGUCCCUCGGGUCAACUUUGGGUAACAGGAGGAGCUCAUUAGCUGAGCAAGAGGGAGUGGGGUAUCAUGAAUCAAGGCUUAUGAAAAAUCGGCAGCAUUGAGUUCAAGUUCAGUAAGGCCAGAGCCCCCCCAUAAUGUGCUGCUUAAAUUACUACCUCGAUUUUAGUUUCUCUUCCUGCCCACUGGUCCAGGUGUCAAAGGGCAGUCAGACGUUCAAACGGGGUCCCAAAGGGCUAGCACUGGGCCGGGAGUAGUUUCAGCAUAGCAGGGCUGGCUCAUCUCUUCCUCCCUUGAGUCCUUAUUGCAUGCCAGGCAUUGAUCUGGGAAUACAGGUGCUUGGUGCUUGCAUUCUACUAAAGAGACAGGCAUAAACAUAACAAAUAACUAAAAUACAUAGUAUGUGAGAUAGUGAUGAAGUGCGGUGGACAAAAAAGAAGGGAGGAAAUGGGAUAAUGUUUGGAGGUAGGGGGUGCAUUUUUAAAUGGGAUGGUCAAAGAUGGCUUCACAGUGGAGUAAAGAUCUAAAGGAGAUGAGACAGAAAGAAGUCACGCUGGUAUCUGGAGAGAAAGCACUUGCUGUGUGGCAGGCACUGAGAUGUUCUUUACUGCACUAGUCAUUUCUUUUACUACUCUCCAUAUGCCAUAUUAGACAGGUAUUGCCACCAUUUCCAUUUUACUGAUGAGAAACUGUAACUUAGGAAGGUUAAAGGAACUGCCCAAGGUCAUAUGCUAGUCAAUAGAGGAGCUUGCCUUCAAGGUCAGGAAGCCUGGUGCCCCAGAACCAUAGUUUAACCACCAUUAUACAGCAGCAGGGGAAAUGCAGCACCCAUGCAGGCUGGUGGCAGUGUGAUGAACUCAAGCUGGUGGUGCCAAAAGAGGAUUCCUGGAAAUGACAUCUCAUCACUGAUUUUUUUUUAAAAGCUCAGUUUCAUUACCACUUGUAAAAUGAAAUAUUUUGAACACCAUUUUUCUUCUUCUUCUUUUUUUUAAUUUUAAGUUCUGGGAUACAUGUGCAGAAUGUACAGAUUUGUUACAUAGGUAUACAUGUGCCAGCGUGGUUUGCUGCAUUUAUCAACUUGUCAUCUAGGUUUUAAGCCCCGCUUGCAUUAGGUAUUUGUCCUAAUGCUCUUCCUCUCCUUGCCGCCCACCCCCGACAGGCCCCGGUGUAUGAUGUUCCCCUCCCUGUGUCCAUGUGUUCUCACUGUUCAACUCCCACUUAUGAGUGAGAACAUGCUCAUUUGGUUUUCUGUUCCUGUGUUAGUUUGCUGAGAAUGGUGGUUUCCAGCUUCAUCCAUGUCCCUGCAAAGGACACAAACUCAUCCUUUUUUAUGGCUGCAUAGUAUUCUAUGGUGUAUGUGUGCCACAUUUUCUUUAUCCAUUCUAUCAUUGAUGGGCAUUUGGAGUGAACAGGCAACCUACAGAAUGGGAGAAAAUUUUUGCAAUCUAUCCAUCUGACAAAGGUCUAAUAUCCAGAAUGUACAAGCAACUUAAACAAAUUUACAAGAAGAAAACAACCCCAUCAAAAAGUGGGCAAAGGAUAUGAACAGAUACUUCUCAAAAGAAGACAUUUAUGCAGCCAACAAACAUAUGGAAAAAAGCUCAUCAUCACUGGUCAUUAGAGAAAACCAUCUUUAUAGUGUGUGUAUGUAUCUUCUGCCUCAUCCACAAGCAGUUUGAUUCUAAAUAACAUAAUUUGACAAUCUGUGAUAAGAUUUAUUAAUCAUUCCCCAAGUGUCCACACCAGUUCCAGUUGCUCAUUCCUAUUCACAGGGAUGUGAUUCCUCACCCCUGCAGUAGAGCCUCUGCCAAGUGUCUUCAGGGCAUUGUGAAAAAGAGUGACAAAACUGCUGCUUCUGAGGGGCUACGGUGUGAACAGGCCAAUUUCUGCCUUAGCUGUCGGCAUCAGGUGGCCUUGUUCUGGGCAGAGCAUCAAUGGCUCCAGACAGAAAACCAGGGCACAUUGUACUUUGUGAAAAAGGCAGGUCACUAACCCUUGGUUUCAGAAGCUGAAACUGCAGCAUCUGGUGAAACAAUGACAUCAAUAGGAUGGCCAAGCCCACAUUUCUCUCCUAGAUAUCUCCACCUCCUCAUGGUUGCAUUCAUUCCUGUCUUCCUUCCUCCACUGUCAGCAAAAAUCUUUUGACCUUUCCUUUGUAGGAAAGGUCUUUUCAAACACCACUUGUCCCAAAAAGCCUUCCUCAUUGUCUCAGCUACAAACGAACUCUUAAUCUAAAAUCUGAUACCUCUCUUAUGGCACCUGACAUUUCCUACUUUAUUUUAAAAUUUAGCCUAUACUGUAUACCUUAACUCCUCCAUAGGCCAAAUAUUAAUUUAUAUUUAAUUUCUCCACAGGUCCUAGCAUAAUGUCUUCUACCCAGUAGACAUUCAAUGAGUAUAUUUUUACUGUUGUUCUUAAUAAAUUAAUCUGCAAGAAUACAGCUUCAUUGUCUUUUAAUUUUGUCUUUUCAUUCCAAGAUAACUCACAGAAAUUUAGUGACAGGACUAAGUUAUAUGUAGCUAUAGCUGUUGUUCAUCAAUAUAAGUUGACAAUGGUUUGUCUUGAGGUAAAUUCCAUUUGCCUUAUUUCAAGAUUAGAAAACAGAGGCUUUAGAGUAAUCUCCCUUAGGUCACAAUACUAGUCUUCAAGAGAGCCAGGAUUUAAACCCAGCACCGUUUGGCUCCAAAAUGAGCUCACCACAAGCUCAUACUUCUCUUUCAGUCGUUCAUUCAGGAAUGCAUUCAUUUGAUCUUUCAACAGAUAUUUGCAAACAUUGACUGUGCUCAGCUCUGUCCUAGACACCAGGAAAAUAGCAAUGAUUAAAACACAGUCCUUGUCCUCAAAAUGCUCACAAUCCUGUAGAAAGGACAAAGGUGACACCAUCUAGUUAAGAAGUAUUUUAUGGAAAAAAAUACACAGCAAUGAAACACAGCAAGAAUGUUCCCAGACGUCUGAGUAAUAAAGAAAGAUUUGAAAACAGAGUGAACUAAGAAAAUGCCCGGAGGCAUUACAGCAGAGGUGGAGAGCAGAUAGGGAAAAGGAAGUAGAGAGAAAAUAAGGGAACAUGAGCUCUGGCAUGGUUUCUUGGCAAUGGGCUGGCUGGCAGCUGGCAGCAUCAGGAAAACAGGGGCUCAGUGUUGACUCAAGACCUGGGAAGCUCCAUUUAUUUUCCAGUUGAUUAGGACCAAUGCCAGCAGUCAGGCUCAGCAGGAAGCAGUAAAAUCAAGACUUGUCUCAGAGAAGGACACAUCCCUGAUAGUUAAUGUGUCUGGGCAUGGAAAACCUGGCUUUUUUAUAAUGAGUCCAACAACAAGGCAGGACCAACUGAAGAAAGUGAUGAGAAAGAAAAAUUGACAUUGUUUUCAGAAGUUAAAGUACAUACUAUGACACAGUUACCUCUCUAACUUGUUUCCUUUAGAGACGAGGAUAAUCUAUCAUCCAGUCAAAUCAAAGGCAAAACCUCACACACAAAGGAACCCAGGAAUUCUACUAGCUAAAGCCAACCCAGGGAGCAGCAAGUACAACUCAUAUCAAGGAUACAGUUUCCUCCUUUUCCUCAAUUAAGUUUCAGAAAGUAAAUAGGAGGAGUGAGUGUUCAGAAGCCCCAAGGCUUGCAAGAUGUGAGGAGUGCAUGCUGCAAAUGGUCACGUUCUCAUCGUGAAUUGCUCCCAUCUCAUUAAUGGCAACAAUUCUCUGCCCAUUUCUUUCUUAGGGAACACAUGCCAGGGCACCGCACACCUCUGCAGGCUCAUACAUACAGGACCUCAGCCCCUACUUCCUGGUAAUAUUCAUUUUUUCUUUCCCUUCCAAUGUUUAAUCAUUUACUUGAAGCUUCCCGCUUGCUGCUAAUCCUAUUGUUUUGUUCCUCCAGUAGAACUGCACAGACUUCCACCCACAUAACGUGGCACUAGGCAGACAAAACAUCUGAUAUAUUUUAGUUCAUGCUUGGCAUUCAAUCAAGAAGACGAAGCUGUGAGCCAUGCUGAAAUGCCAACUAAAAUUCAUUUUGCACUACCAGAAAGAGAGAGAGAUGGCACACCGAGGAGAAACUGUAGCCUCAUGGCGAUCAUGUGUAGCCCUAGGCUCUAACACUAGCAAAUUUCUUUCCCUCAAAAUUGAAUUGGUGCAUUUUGAAGUGAAAUCCUGAUGGCUUCUUGUUUACUAUCACACAAUAAUGAGGAAGCUUCAGUUUAUUGGCACGGAGCUCAGCCACUCUCAGACAGCAAAUGGAAAAGAGAGACUAACUUGUCCUGGUGCUUUGCUCCUUGUUAUUCCUUUAAUUGUGUCACAGCCAAUACAACGCAUGAUGGAAUUAUUCCGAAAUAGAGAAACACGUUGAGCCUAGACAUUGACUGUUACAGCGGUGUGGGUGGAGUCCACACAUACUCAUGCCCCCUCUCUUUCCCACAUGCCUGCACACCUGUCUAUUCAGUGAGGGGAAGAUGAGGUCUUGCAGCCCUGGGUGGCUUCAUCUGCCCAUGAGGGUCACUUUUCUCUUCUUGGUUCUUUUACCUCAAAGAUAUUCUGUGAUCACUAUGUGCUGAAAGCAUUCAGCAUUCUUCUGCCUCUGCUCAAAUUAUCACUAGUACUGUUCUUAACAUUUCUGGUCCCACCAAAAUUCAUGCCCAUUUUGUAGAAACUGACCCAAUGUGAGGAUGAUGAAUAAUAAAAAGGAGGUGUGUGUGUGCGUGCGUGUGUGGGUGUGUGCAUGUGCGUGUGUGUGUGUAUCUGGGUAUGUGUGUCUGUGUAUAAAAUCUCAGAAAGAAAUGUUGAAAUAAAUAUGAAACAUUUAAAUUUUUUAUUAUUUUAAAGGUAAUAUCAGCACUUUUUGGAAAACAAAAUAGAAG